UGGACAUUGUAAUUAGUUAAUGAUGCAUGUGACCGCUUUCACUACUCUGACAAUCUUCAAGCAAUUUGGAAAAUUCCUACUUUAAGCAAAGUUGAAGCAAGAUGAAGAGAAGAACCAGAUACCUUUAGUUAAUUGAAACUUAAACACUUCCAAAAAGAGAAAGUGACUCAUAUCUGCAUAAUUCUCUAUUGUAGUAAAAGCAUGGUGUCUUUUUAUAAUCAUGCAUGCGUUAAGCAUGUAACAUGAACUCUUAAUGUAUCAUGACAUAUAGAGAAUGGACAACAAUAUGAAAAAUACAUCAAGGAGAAACUAAAAGGGAGCAAACAGUCAAGAGCAUGAUAGAAAUAUGGAAAGAUAACUCUCACUAUAUCUCAGGAGCUUCGAUGUUUUGCUGACGUUGAGAAAAAGUUUCCAUGGAACAAACACCAGGUAAUGGGGGUUUUUGAUGUUAAUUCCUACAUCAGAGGACUCUGUCUUGCAGUUUUCAUUUGGAAUAUAGCUUGUUGCUAGGCUUUAAGAAACCUCAAGACAUAUAUAUAGUGAAUUUUUUUCAUCUUACUAUUUAAUAACUCAUAAUCAUAUCUUGUUAAAGAAAUAUUUGUUAUUUGACAAUUUUAAACAGACUUUCCAACACACACACACACAUAUACAUGUAUGUAUGUAUGUAGGUAUGUAUGUACGUACGUAUGUAUGUAUGAAUGUAUGUAUGUAUGCAUAUUUGCAUUACUUUCCUUAGAGGUGUUCCGGUUCCUAGCAGAGAAACUUAUCUCCUGACCAUAACAGCAUCGAACACCACCUUCCUCAUUAGCAACUGGGUUAAACUCGAUUUAACUGGUGGGUUUGCCAUCAUUAAAACUCAUGUGAAAAUUAUGUAUUGGUAGCUUAAUCUUUGAUUAGUUCAAAGCUCCUCAAUUACUACUUGCACAUAAUAGGAAAUUAAAAAAAAAAUGCCAAGGAAAGAUAAUUUUGAGAUCUCUAGAUGCGAAGUUGAUUAUUUAUUGGUCCAUAAGUUACAAGCUUGUAUGGAGAUGAAGCAGUCUCAACCAAGAAAAGUUUACUUUGAAGUUCAUAAUUAGAUGUUUACUUAAUUACCUUAAGCAUAGGCAAGUGUAUAGCAUACAUGCAUGCAAACAUACAUACAUAUAUACAAAUGUAUAUGUACGUAUGUAUGUAUAAAGAGAGAGACAGCUAGACUUAGUGUGUGUGUCUAUAUAUAUAUGUGUGUGUGUAUAAAGAGAGAGAGAGAGGCAGUUAGACUUGGCUACACUUGAGUGUGUCUCCACACACAUCCAGCUAAGUCUAGGUUUGAUAAUGGAGCUCCCACAUCGAUAAUCCGAGUUAUCGGAUGUGAUCUACUAUCUCCAACAUUUUACAUGCUCAAACUCGUGAUUUGAAAACCCUUAGCCUUGGAUCACGUGAUUAAAAUAUAUAUAUAUAUAUAUAAUUUAAUGUUAUUUAAAAUAUCUAUUUUUUUACCAUUUGAUGCAUAGACUAGGAGCCUUCAAAUCAUAUGAUUUUAGUAUGUAAGCAGUUUAGAGAUAGUAAAUCACAUCCAACAGUUUCGAUCAUAGACCUCCAUUGUCGAAUCUAGACCCAACUAGAUCUGAGUGGAGAUCCACUCAAGGUAGCCAAGUCUAUCGGUACAUAUUGUUGGUCCUUAAACUGGAUAUUUGAUAAUCUGACAACUCUUGAAUUCCCGGGUUUCAUGUGAAGGCCUAUCUCUCCACGUGAGAUCACAAUUUGGGCAUAGAUUUUUCAUGUGAAGGCUGAGUAACCAAUGUUAUCAACAAAGGUAAUAUUAAGAGUCCCGAGGAAAUUGAGUGAAGCAGCACCAAAAUGGAGCCAUGAUUCUAACAAUGUCAUAUAUGCAAUAUUGAAGUAUAUCUAGAGGCACCAAUUAGUGUAAUAUUAUAUCAAGUGCUUAUAUAUUAAGUGCUCGCUGAUAUCGUAAGGCACAUAUGUAGUUGAAGAAAAAAUUCAUGGUUUUAAAGAACUGGUUUGGAUCAUUCUCCUCAAAAUAAGAAAAAAAUAUCUGGUUUAGGCCAGCUAUGACCAUAUAGUGAUCAAUAUGAGAAAAGAAAAAAUUAUGACCAAAUUGUGAUCUCAUGUGGAGAGAUAGGCCUUCACAUGAAACCUGAGAAUUCAAGAGCUGUCAGAAUAUCAAACAUCCAAUUUAGGGACCACACACACACACACACACAUGCCUGCUUGUAAAUAAAGUAAUGAAGCAAACAUCUAAUUAGGGAUUUCAGAGCAAACUUUUCUUGGUGGAGACUGCUUCAAGGGCUCUAUAUAAACUUGUAACUUAUGGACCAACAUAUGAUCAACUUCUCAUGUAGAGAUCUGAAAAUUAUCUUUGCUCAGUAUUUUUUUUAAUUUAUUAUUAUGUGAACGUAGUGAUUCGGGAGCUUUGAACUAAUCAAAAGUUAAACUAGGGACCAGUAUAUAAUUUUCACAUGAGUUUUAAUGAUGAUCAAAGGUUAAACUUAUCUCGUCGUCUACCAUCCACACUAAGUGGUGGGUCAUUACCCUAUUCCCUCAUCCUCAUUAAAAUAUGAGCCUAUCAAAUAUGCAUGAUGUUAUGCAAUCAAAAUAUUCAAACCAUUUUUAGCAUCCAUAGGUUCACAAACAAACUCAAGACAGUUUCUUCGCUCUCUGAACAUUGGAUACUAGCAACCAGGGUUUUCCGUACCAUGCCGAACUGGCCGAUUCAUCCCGUAUCAUACCGGACCGAAAAGGAACCGAUACGGUUCGGCCGGUAAAUUCAAUAUACCGACGGUACCGGAAGAGAAAGAGAGGGAAAGUGAAAAAGAGAGAGAGGAGAGGGAGGGAGGCGGGAGCCGCCAGAGGCUGACGGUGGCCCGCUGCGGCCGUCGGAGGGCUUUCGAGCCCCGUAUCGCUCAAUAGGACUUUCAAGAGAGCGAGAAAGAGAGAGAGAGAGCGCGCUCAGGGGGGACGACCUACUGGACAAACGCCGCCUCCAUCGCGAGGCCCUCGAUGGCCGGCGAGCCCAUGCCAAUGGGCCUGAGGGUGGUUGAGCAAGAGGGCCUCUGUGGCUCCGCCGGUCUGCCUCCUUCGAAACAAAACUGGGUCCGUGGGUUUUUUUUUUUGAUUUAAAGACGUAAAAUCGGCAACUCAGUUACUGACUUCAAGAUUUUUUUUUAAAAAAAAUUAGUGAAGUCGGCAAGUGGUUGCCGACUUCACCUGUUCAUGGAUUUUUUUAAAAAAAUUAGUGAAACAGGGGCCGAUACGGCACCGCCCGCACGGACUGCGCCGUCGGGCGGUCACGGCGGCCAAUCGGACACCGUCCGACGGCCCCGCCUCUUCCUUCUCCUCCCUCCUUUUCUUUCUUCGCCCCCUCUCUCUCUCUCUCUUCUUUUUCUUCUCUCGAUUCGGCUCCCGUUUCCUUCAUCGAUUCGCAUCGAUUUGGCACGGUACGAAACCGUACCGAACCGUAUCACCAACGGCUGAUACAGCUAGCGGUACUGGUUCAGCAAACCUUGCUAGCAAUCACACUGUGAGAAGUUCAAUUCAACAUUGUAGACUGAAAUGUGAAUGUAAUAUGAAAUCUCUGCAGUUACAACCUAAUGCACAAUCAAAUGCCCUUACUACUUGAAUUUUCAACUGCUGCACUCCCAAAAAGGAAGAAUAUGCUUUAUUCAAAUGCAUCCCCAUUAAUUUGGAUUUAUCCAUGAUAAAAUUGUUUCAGGAGAGCAUUUAAGAGACCUUUUAAGCCACAUGCACUAUAAGUUAUGAGAUUGAAGGCAUACAUUCAUCAAUGUGGAAUUAAUAGUAUAACAUGCAAUGUUAAAACAUAUAAGUUAUGAGAUUCAAUAUCGACAAAUUACAAAUAGAUAGUUUACUGCAGUAUCAAGGUUCCAAUGUAAAUUACCCAUCCUUUCUCCAGAUAAUCAGUGUUCUAAUGUAUUCAGCAAAGUAAUAUUCUAUUGAAAUCUAACUUAAUAAAACUAGGAUAUUGAGGAUUAGCUCAAAGGAUAUUUGUGAAUCUGUCCAUCAUAUAAGGAAAGAGAGCAAACGCCCUUUAGUUUAGGCAGUCAGCUUUAUUAGAAUUAGCAGCAAUAAUGGACCAUGAUACACCAUAUAACCCCUUUUUUUCCUUCAAACCUCCACAAUUGCAGAGAUAGCUACAUAUUGCUCUGCAUUCAUUUUAACAGGUAAUCCACCAUCAAUUUCUUAACUCAUCUUCCUUUUGUUCUGCAUAAGAUCUUGUCACAAUUUAUUACAGUCAAAAAGGAAAGAUCUUUGUAAUUCUGCCAAACUAUCAGCCAUUCAAGUUGGCAUUUCAGAUAACAUGGAAUAGGUAGCAACAUGAUAAGUGACACUGAUAAGCAAUUAAUAAUCUUCUAUGUGCUUCACCAAAUUCCUCACAUUUUCUCUAGUCUUUCAGUGAUGAGAUCUGUAAUGCUUUUUUUAAUUCAUCUGAUAUUCCUUAGAGAAGUGUCCAGUAAACAAAUUGGCUUCAGGCUUACAUAAACACAUCUAUCUUCAUGCCAAAACCAACCCUUCCAGUCACCCUUGGUGAGUUCAAUUUCAGCCUGAAAAGGCUUGAAAUAUUUCUAGACCAAAAUGAUAUUGCUACUUCAACAAAUAACUCUAAUUAGAAGAUCAAAUUAAAUUGUUGUUCAUAAAAUGGAGGGGUCAAAUGAGAAACUUCUCCAAAAUCUGCACCACAUCAAGUGUGGCAUAUAUAAUAGAAUUAAUACUUCAAAAGAUAGAAACACAAUCCCUAUCACUCAAAUCUACUAACCAACGAAAUAACCUUACAGUGCAAUUAACUAACAGUAUGAUUGAGCUAUUUGACUUUGCAAAACAGUUCAUUAUCAUUUUUCAAAAAACCAAUCUUGAAUUCAAAGAGCACUCAAGUCUUGCGAUUCCAUUAAAAUUCUUCCAAACAUCUUAUUCUCCCUCAAAAUUAAUGAUAAGCAAGAAUUCUAGUCAUUCAUUUUCCUAUAAUCCUUCAGAAUGACUUAGUCUCACAAGUUCUAUGUUCACCACAAGCACAUCCAAAUGAUAGCUGGCAUUCAAGCAUAAUACAAAACAAAUUCUAUUGCUUUCCUGCCUUUCAAUAUAUCAAAGAUUUGGAUUGCAUAACCUAGUUUAGAGUCAUGUUUUUCUAUCAGAGAUCACAUCCAUUUUUUCCCAAACAUUUGUACAUUCUACAUCAAAAGAUUGCUUUCAAACCUGGCUAUAAACAUAUGUUGCUGGUUUCUGAUUCUUUGGGUUCUAUUUAAACCCACAAUCUUCAUACAACGGGUAUCAGGCAUUGAUCCUUAUUUUAUUCACCAGUGGCAUAUACUAGUUAUUUCCUUGUUCCUCCUGUCUUGUCCAGUCCCAUCUGAUCCAGCAACAUUUUUGACACAACUAUUCUAUGAUUUUUUUUUCUUGAGAAUGAAAAGGGCCUGAGAUUUAAUUCAUGUGUAUCCCCUUCAGCUACCUUGUAAGGUUUAAAGGUUUUCCCAUUUUGGCUCUUUUGGUAUUUCCAUCUAUUUAACUUCAACUUCACAAAUGGAUCCAACUUCAUUUACAUGCACUUAGUUUCCAGCAUGAAUGAUAGAUAUUGCAUGAAUGUUAUGCAUCCAAUGUGUCUACGAUUUUCCAAUGGAGCUUAAGAAUGCUAGUAAGUUCAAGAUCAAUGACAUAUGAAGCCAUGGUAACAUUCAUUGGUUAGAUCAAUGCCAUGGUUUGAACAACAAAUAUCACCUUGGGAAAUGAUAAUCCUUGCCCACAUAGGGGGAAGAACUGACAUAGUAACAAAGUUCACUCUCUGAUGGCUAGAUAUACAAAUAAUAACAUUAAUAUUAGAUCACAUAUUCAAGAAAGUGAAAGAGAAGUAGAUUUGAUCCAAACCAUAAUUUUUAGACAAAGCCUUAAGCUAGAGGCAAAACUAUUGCACAAAAUCCACCACAAAAACUAAAAAAUUUACCAUAUUUUUAUGUAUAUUUAUUGAUAUCUUGCAGAGGGACUUGCCCUUUUGACAAUGACUCAAAAUCCUAACAAAUCUAUACUAAAUAAGAUCAUUGAUUUAAGUAAACUAAUAGUAACCCUCAUUAAAGUUAGAACUAACGAAAGCAAAAGGUUAUAAAUAUGCUCCCAAAUUGAUCAACACUUUCAGGCCAUAAUAACUUAGACUAUAGUAUUUCUAAUAAUAUUAACUCAUCGAGACAACCCAAAUAAUAUAUUAAUGGAACAAUGCUAAUCCAAACUCCAAUUACAAAUUAUGACACUUGAAGGAUGCAGCUGCAAUUAAAUCUGAAAAUAGAAUUGUUAGUUCAGAUAUAAUUCUGGAGUCCUUUCUAAUUGUGCAACAUUUUCAAGAAGACUCAAAUUUAUAGAGAUUUAUUCCUUGAUUGCGAAGUGUAAGGAUAUCAACCAUUCAAAAUAACUGAGAGAUAUAACCUCUGAUGAUUGAGAUUAGGAAAAUUAGAUUAAGAAGAUGUCCUAGAUGACUUAAUCUCUUGCAAGGGCAAUCCAACAUGACGCAAUCAAAGAAAGUGAGGACCUAGCAUGGCCAUCUCUUGCACAAGCAUUCAAUAUUUGCUACCAUGGACAGGUUCUAAAGAUGCACUUUGUGACAUUCAAGAACACUGCAGACACAACUGAUCUACCCAAUUCUUAUUACCAAGGUCUCCAUGCAGAGUGAUGUGACGUGCAGUAAUAUAUUGUUGGAUAAAGAUAUUAAAUUCCUUUGUCAAUCUCUAGUGUAUUUUGUGAAAGUCAGUCUAAUGCAUCUUUUCCUCACAGCAGCACCAGCACCUACCAUGGUCCAUUACUGUAUCUAGGGACAGGAAAUUUGGGACAUCAUUGGACAUCCUAUUACAAUCAAACCAAAACAACUGAUUUAGAACUUCCACAUGUGACUCGCAUUUCCUAAACAUGAAAAAUCUUUGUAAUAGAUGUUGCAUGAACUAGCACCUAAGUAUGCACUAUAUAUGGCUGCCUUAUCAGAGUUGUGAAGAAUAAGCAUGACUACAAACAAUAUAGCUACGUGGAUAGUGAUUAUAGUUGAAAACACAGCCUGUUAUUAUGAUUUCAAAGGACCCCACAUGUUAUAUAUACAAGUGAAUGGAUGAUUAAUAGCUUCUUGAUAACAACCAUUGCUAGUGAAUUUCAACUUUUCCAAUAUAUAUUAUGAUAUAAUUGAGGAGCAUUAGACCUACAUGCUUAUACAGGAGACAGCUCUUCCUGCACAUAAUGUAAGGCCCAUAUACCUCUGUUUUGAGUGGACCAUACAUCCAAUGUACAUGGAGCCUAUAUAUUAAGAGGGGAAGGGUGCCAUUCAUGUUGCUCAUAGGCAGAUUUUGCCCACUUUAGCAUGUAAGUUUGGAGCCCAGAAUAUGAACUUCAUGCUAAUACUUAAAUAAAUGGAUAAGGGUAAUGACUGCUAUCAACAAAAUUCUAAAUUAGGUCUAUCUCAAUCUCUCUUGUAUUUUAAGGGACAUCCCUAGGGACACAAGGUUUAUUCUCCGGUUAGAAAACAAUCUUGCUAUUUCGAUGCAUGCACUAGAACACUUAGUAAGGCAUGCAUUAAGCAACCCUAAAAGUGCACCAAUUGGUCAUUGAUCUAAUAUCCUAUUUUUUAGUGCCACUAGACUUCACUCUAAAGCAUCAAACAUUUAGAUAAUCCAUUAUUUAACUAUUUUCUUGCACAGUUCAAAAAGUUUUCCUGCGUGACAAACAAAUAAUAAAGUCUUGGGAUAAUCAUCACCCAAAAAACUGAAAGUUUUUUAGAUGAAUGAUUCAUGUCAACCAAUGUAUCAAACAACUUGAUUUAUAGCAAAUUCGGUCAAGUGAAGCUCAAUGAUGGAAUUUCAAAUUGAUAUAAACUGAUGAAUGUUAUCUUCAUGACUAAACUACCUAGGAACCAAGCAUUAUAUGUUCGGACACCCCUUACGGAUUAAAUUGUCCUAAAAUUAACAGUUUUAGUGCCAUGCUAUAGUAUUUUGAUUUGAUCUAUGAUGAGCACAAGCAUAAUAGUUUGGUUUUGGUUUCCAUAUGUUUCAAGAUGCCUAGAUCAAGAUUAAUUUUUGAAAUACAAAUCCACGGAGUACUUUUUAAAAUGCUAGUUCUAUUUAUACUGUUCAUGGGAUGACUAGAUGCAUAAUUUCUGAAUGUACAUGUAUUUUAGAUUGCACAGUUUAGACAUUCUAGACUACAACCAAUGUAUAUGUGUGUGUUAAAUUUUGGAAGUUGGAACCCAAUCUUUGAAGUCCGCAUGGUUACAUUUGCCCUAGAAUCUGGUAGAUCUCACUAAGGAUAAUGAAAAAGAGAGAAAAAUAAAUAAGUUACCUUACUUCCAAUGGGAUUGAGGCUUCGGUUUUAUACUUGUACCAUAUCAAAAAUCAAAUAAUCAAUUAUGGGCAUUCUAAAUUAAUAUUCAUAUGGUUGAGCAUGUUCUGAAUUAUCUAAAAAUACAUAUAACCAAAAUCAAGUAUUCAAAAGGUCUCUUAACUAUUAUCAAGUCACCUAUAAAACAUAUCGAUAGUCUGAUAUAAAGUAGUGACACAAUUUAUGGUAUAGAAGCAUGAAGCCCCUUAAAAUUAGCUUGUAGAUGUUCAAGACCUUUAAAUCAUAAUGAACAGUGAAGUCCCAAAAUUUAUAUGCCUCAUCAUCUAUUUUAACAGAAUUGAACUAUUGGUGGCUUCAAUUUUGUGUUCACUUGAACCAUAGGCAAGAGAACUCUAUAACAAUUCCAUUUCUUAUAGGAAUUUUAGAUUUUUAAAUCAUGAUAAACACAGGGGAUCCUAAAUUCAAAAAAGCCUACUCUUGACCAAGUGUCUAUGAUGCAUACAUAGAUUGAAAGGGACGAAAAGAAUUUUGCAAAAUGGGGAAAUAAAACUAAUCGAAAAGAAAACAAGAAUCAAAGACCAAGUGGAAUCCAUCAUCAUAAAUUCAGUAUUGUCAAAGUAAACCAAAGUUUGCUUACAGACAUCUAAUCUAGAUUCUGAAAUCCUAUUAUGUAAUAUUGUUUCCAGAAAAAAUGAAUGAAGUUCAGCAUAAUCCAGCUACAAACAUAAGACAAAAUGUAUAAAGUAUAAACCCCUUUGAAAGUUGAAAUAGCUGAAGUCUCUAAAAUAGCAAGUUUUAUAUCUACAUCAGGAGAAUGCCGACGCAAUGAAAAUGUACUCAGAAAGCUUAUAUCACCUGCAUUGUAGGUGAAGAUGAUCCUUUGAUCUUAUGAACACCUGUAAAUAUUAUUAUAUUCUCCAACAUAGUUGCUACGGUUUGUUAUGAUCUUUUAUUUUCUAAUAUAUCAUUAUAAUGUCUCUCCAAUCAUCUAGCCUUUGUCUGCAAUGUUGCAGAACUCAUCUGUUAACAUUGCUCACCAACUUACCAGUUGUCCUCCCAUGAUUUUUCAUAAAUUGAUUGGCAUGUUAUCCAUAACCAAUACCUUGUACAUUCCAUCUCAAAUGUUAAUAAGAUGUGAAUUACUAAAAAUCAUAUUAUUUAACCUCAAUAUUGUAUGUUCUUAACAAUAACAGUGAGGCAAGCAUCAGUUCCUCCUUAAAUCAGCUAUUUCAGUCAUAACAAACAUAAUUAUAACCAACAAAACAAGAAUCCAUAUUCAAUGUAUGUGUUGUUUGGCUAUAAGGUUCAAGACAGAGAGCCAUCAGAAUAUUACCAACCCUCGCCUGAGAUCAACCAUUCAAAUUAGUGACAGAUUCCUGAACAAGGCAACUAUGGGGGAGAGAUGUUAGAGAUGUACCCUCAAAAGCCAAAUGGUGGUACUGCAACCUCUUAUAUACUUCAAGUUUAGUAGCUCAUGAGCAAGACUAUAUGUCUAGGGUUCCUUUUGACUUGCAUAGUAUCACAAAGAUGAGAAGGUAAAUACAGUUCGAUAUAGAUAAUUUCAAUUUAUCUCUAAUGUACAAUGAGCAAGCCGUAGAAAAAAAGUUGAAACUCAAAACUACAACUCAAGUCCUACUUAAAUCAAUCAAUUUGAUCGUAUUUGGAAAAUAUUUAUGCCAAGCACAUAUCAAAUCAUUGAAUUAGAUGUUGCCUAUAAAGAAUGCUUUUAAUUCAAUGGUAUUUGCAGAUAAAUCAUCUCAUCCUACAGUCCAUAUCACCGAUUAUGCAAGAUGUAAGACAUUGAUGCACCAAGAGAGACCCUGCAUAUGUGAGCGUCUUAAAGAGACUUUUACUUACAUCAAGCAUAAAUACAUAUUUUCACCUAGUGAUCGAAAUUCUUGAAUAGUAACCCAUGUCCAUAUAACAAAAAAGCAAGCAAAUAAAAAUCUGAAUUAUAAUAAAACAACCAUAAGCAUAACAAGAUAAUCUCGUAAUUGAAAAAAAUUGUAACGCUUCAAAAAAAAACCAAAGAAACUAAUAAAUUAAGUUAAAGCAAGCAAAUAACAAAUCCAAAGCAUAGAACCAAACUAAUGAAAUAGAUAAACAGAGGGAAACAAAAAUCACAACUGUUGGUUGCUAACUACCUGUGCCUCGAGAGCAUCUCCUCCAAAGGCUCCCGCUUUCUCUCACUUAAAUCCCCCUGGAUCUCCCCUUGAGGCGCCCCUCCCUCACCCUCUUCGGCUGCCUCCAUUGCCAAGGAAAGAGAGAGAGGGAGAGAUAGGGGCUGAGGAAGAAUUGAUAGGGGCGAGAAGAGGAGAGUUCCAAGAGGAACCAAAGAGGUCACGGAGGCUAUGAUCCGAAAAAAGAAAAAGACAAAAAUGCCACGGAGACUGCAGCCCUGAGAGCAACAAGUUUGCGAUGCAUUUGAACGGCCCACUAAUGGAAAUCUCAAAAGCGAAAGAGAUUCUUUGUGCACCGCAGGCGGUAGAGAACCACGCCAAUUGCCCACGAUAGUUG
This 10824-nucleotide long non-coding RNA is filed under the name Elaeis guineensis (African oil palm). RNAcentral's name for it is "long non-coding RNA (EGUI_LNC030252)". Lineage: Eukaryota; Viridiplantae; Streptophyta; Magnoliopsida; Arecales; Arecaceae. The record is from RNAcentral.